This is a non-coding RNA of Biomphalaria pfeifferi, 751 nucleotides long. The record is from the annotation of a GenBank genome assembly. Lineage: Eukaryota; Metazoa; Mollusca; Gastropoda; Planorbidae.
AUAGAGGUGAGUUCAAUUUAUUUAUUACAUAAAUACAUUUUGAUGAACAAAAAAUAAUAUAUUACUAUAAAUGUCUUACCUUAGCAUCAGAAUGUUUAUGAAUAUUAGACGACUAACCCGUACUUGUUGUACAAUAUUCAACCUUAUAUAAAAAUAACUACUAUACUUUAGCUGAACAAAGAAGUAUUGCAUCGCUGUUAUAUCUUAACAGGAUAAAUUUAAGUUUUAAUGCAAGACUAUUAUUAAAAAAAAACAGUUAAUUCCUAACACUGUUGAAUGUUAUUUUAUGUAAACACAAUCUACACAUCAAAGGAAUGUCAAUAGACAUGAAUUAGAGUUUGAUUUGCUAGUUGCAGAUGUUCUGCACCAUCAGGAGUGAGCCCUGAAGACUUUGUUAGUUUGCAUUUUUUUUGUUUUACAGUAUGUGUAGUUAAAAGGCCGUCAUAGAGUCCAAUUGCUGUAAUAAUCUCUUUUUCAAGACCAUGGUAAAAAGAGGCUAAUAAAACCUUUUUAAAAGCUGUAAUAACAAUCUACAAUCUUAAUGUGGAGAUGGCCCACAGAAUGAAAAUUCAGCCUAGACAAGUUGUAACUUUUUUUUGUUACUCCAAAUCUCGAAUUAGGUCAAACUUUUCACUAUGUGAUAUCUGUCAUGGCAGUUAUGCAGAGAACCAAAUAAAGAAAGAAAAUAAGUGUACCAUUCCAUAUUAAACAUCUGCAUAAUAAUAUGUCUUUAUUAUCCUUGAAGAAAUCU